Small nucleolar RNA from Balaenoptera musculus (blue whale), 75 nucleotides. Its record names the gene SNORD28. It matches the Rfam family "Small nucleolar RNA SNORD28". Rfam says of the family: U28 is a member of the C/D class of snoRNA which contain the C (UGAUGA) and D (CUGA) box motifs. U28 is encoded within the U22 snoRNA host gene (UHG) in mammals and is thought to act as a 2'-O-ribose methylation guide for ribosomal RNA. NCBI's taxonomy places the organism in Eukaryota, Metazoa, Chordata, Mammalia, Artiodactyla, Balaenopteridae. The record is from Ensembl.
GUCAGAUGAUUUGAAUGAUAAUGCUGAUUCUCUGUGAGGUACGACAUUUAAUAGCAUGUUAGAGUUCUGAUGGCA